Molecule: ribosomal RNA, 429 nt
Filed under: Actinomycetes bacterium
Lineage: Bacteria; Bacillati; Actinomycetota; Actinomycetes
Description: Actinobacteria bacterium partial 16S ribosomal RNA
Rfam family: Bacterial small subunit ribosomal RNA
Source: RNAcentral
UAGGGAAUCUUCCGCAAUGGGCGAAAGCUUGACGGAGCAACGCCGCGUGAGUGAUGAAGGUCUUCGGAUCGUAAAACUCUGUUAUUAGGGAAGAACAAAUGUGUAAGUAACUAUGCACGUCUUGACGGUACCUAAUCAGAAAGCCACGGCUAACUACGUGCCAGCAGCCGCGGUAAUACGUAGGUGGCAAGCGUUAUCCGGAAUUAUUGGGCGUAAAGCGCGCGUAGGCGGUUUUUUAAGUCUGAUGUGAAAGCCCACGGCUCAACCGUGGAGGGUCAUUGGAAACCGGAAAACUUGAGUGCAGAAGAGGAAAGUGGAAUUCCAUGUGUAGCGGUGAAAUGCGCAGAGAUAUGGAGGAACACCAGUGGCGAAGGCGACUUUCUGGUCUGUAACUGACGCUGAUGUGCGAAAGCGUGGGGAUCAAACAGG